RNAcentral lists this unclassified non-coding RNA (403 nucleotides) under Phlyctochytrium planicorne. RNAcentral's name for it is "partial internal transcribed spacer region". The stretch from base 1 to 46 matches the Rfam family "Eukaryotic small subunit ribosomal RNA", at positions 1786 to 1831 of the family's 1831-position model. Lineage: Eukaryota; Fungi; Chytridiomycota; Chytridiomycetes; Chytridiales; Chytridiaceae. The record is from RNAcentral.
AAGUCGUAACAAGGUAACCGUAGGUGAACCUGCGGUUGGAUCAUUACGAAAAUCCAAAAUAUCCUCUGCCUGCGUUGUCUAGCUUUCACAGCAAAACAGCGCAGCGGGCGAUACACACCUUCUGUGAACCAUUGAAAUGCAUUUUGGGCAGUAUCCAUAUCAAGCAUGUAGUAGUUGAAGUCUCUAAAAAAGACCUCCUUUGCAUGUGGACUGACCGAAAGGUAAUGUAUUCGGACGGGUUUAUUUUAAAAGCGUGAAGAAGAAGGUCGCUCAUUCGAGGACCUCCUCUUCAUGUGGACCAUCCGAGCACUACAAACAUACCCCAAUAUCUUAUCUUCUGUAUCUAGUCUUAUAAAAGAGAAACAAUGAGAAACAACUUUAGACAACGGAUCUCUUGGCUCUC